CUUUGAUUAUGGUUGAAAUUCAACAAAAAAAAUGUGUGAAAAAACAGUCGCCAUGUUUGCAAUCGUUUGUGUUUGAGUUGUUUUUGGUUCCGCGUUGGACUUAAUUUCAAAUAAAUCUCCUGAAAUACAUGAUAAUAUUUACUGUAACUACGAGAGUUGUGAACCAACUAUGGGUUAUCUGGAGUCGGAAGCAGCAGCAGUCCAGCCGAAAACAGAAAUUCGACUCAACGGAAUCAUAGCUUUCUAUGCCCCCAGCCGCCAUCACGUCUUAGUAAUGUUCCGGAACUCCCUACGUUUGCUGAAUAGGAAGGUUCCGAAAUUAUGCUAGGAAUCACCGGCACUAGAAUCACAGCAGAGCGGGAAGCUGAACAUUCCAGGAAAGGCAGCAGCACAUCAUCCGUAACUGUGGUAGCAAUGGCCGACGCAAUCAAUCCCCCGGCCGGCUAAACUUUCUUCCGACAAUGUAACUUAGUAAUGCCAGUAGACCUGGCACUUUUAUACCAGCAUCAAGCAGAUACCAGUGAAAGCAAACUUAAAGUUGAUGUUAAAUAUAAAAAAAUCUGUUGAAAAUCUGAUUGAUUAAUUUCUUUAAUUCUGUUUCCUGUGUUCAAGUCGAUUUAUAUUUAAAAAUGAAUAUUUUCUGCUAAUUUCGUCCAAUUUUUACUUUUUCGAUCAUGCUUGAAAAAUAACCAUU
Long non-coding RNA from Uranotaenia lowii, 694 nucleotides. RefSeq lists it as uncharacterized. The record is from RefSeq and is a predicted model, not a curated record. NCBI's taxonomy places the organism in Eukaryota, Metazoa, Arthropoda, Insecta, Diptera, Culicidae. The transcript is spliced from 3 exons.